CGGUGAUGCCCAGCUUGCUGGGUGGAUCAGUGGCGAACGGGUGAGUAACACGUGAGUAACCUGCCCCAGACUCCGGGAUAAGCCUUGGAAACGAGGUCUAAUACUGGAUACGAGAUGCCCCUGCAUGGGGAGUGUCUGGAAAGAUUUAUCGGUCUGGGAUGGACUCGCGGCCUAUCAGCUUGUUGGUGGGGUAAUGGCCUACCAAGGCGACGACGGGUAGCCGGCCUGAGAGGGCGACCGGCCACACUGGGACUGAGACACGGCCCAGACUCCUACGGGAGGCAGCAGUGGGGAAUAUUGCACAAUGGGCGAAAGCCUGAUGCAGCGACGCCGCGUGAGGGAUGAAGGCCUUCGGGUUGUAAACCUCUUUCAGCAGGGAAGAAGCGCAAGUGACGGUACCUGCAGAAGAAGCGCCGGCUAACUACGUGCCAGCAGCCGCGGUAAUACGUAGGGCGCAAGCGUUGUCCGGAAUUAUUGGGCGUAAAGAGCUCGUAGGCGGUUUGUCGCGUCUGGUGUGAAAACUCAAGGCUCAACCUUGAGCUUGCAUCGGGUACGGGCAGACUAGAGUGCGGUAGGGGUGACUGGAAUUCCUGGUGUAGCGGUGGAAUGCGCAGAUAUCAGGAGGAACACCGAUGGCGAAGGCAGGUCACUGGGCCGCAACUGACGCUGAGGAGCGAAAGCAUGGGGAGCGAACAGGAUUAGAUACCCUGGUAGUCCAUGCCGUAAACGUUGGGCACUAGGUGUGGGGCUCAUUCCACGAGUUCCGUGCCGCAGCAAACGCAUUAAGUGCCCCGCCUGGGGAGUACGGCCGCAAGGCUAAAACUCAAAGGAAUUGACGGGGGCCCGCACAAGCGGCGGAGCAUGCGGAUUAAUUCGAUGCAACGCGAAGAACCUUACCAAGGCUUGACAUACACCGGAAAC
Molecule: ribosomal RNA, 921 nt
Filed under: Actinomycetes bacterium
Lineage: Bacteria; Bacillati; Actinomycetota; Actinomycetes
Description: bacterial SSU rRNA
Rfam family: Bacterial small subunit ribosomal RNA
Source: RNAcentral